Molecule: long non-coding RNA, 870 nt
Organism: Oncorhynchus tshawytscha (Chinook salmon)
Lineage: Eukaryota; Metazoa; Chordata; Actinopteri; Salmoniformes; Salmonidae
Source: Ensembl
GUGAGAGGAGGCAGGUAGCCUGGUGGUUAGAGUGUAGAGGAGGCAGGUAGCCUAGUGGUUAGAGUGGAGGGGCGGCAGGUAGCCUAGUGGUUAGAGUGUAGGGGCGGCAGGUAGCCUAGUGGUUAGAGUGGAGGGGAGGCAGGUAGCCUAGUGGUUAGAGUGGAGGGGUGGCAGGUAGCCUAGUGGUUAGAGUGGAGGGGCGGCAGGUAGCCUAGUGGUUAGAGUGGAGGGGGAGGCAGGUAGCCUAGUGGUUAGAGUGGAGAGGAGGCAGGUAGCCUAGUGGUUAGAGUGUAGAGGAGGCAGGUAGCCUAGUGGUUAGAGUGUAGAGGUGGCAGGUAGCCUAGUGGUUAGAGUGUAGGGGAGGCAGGUAGCCUAGUGGUUAGAGUGUAGGGGAGGCAGGUAGCCUAGUGGUUAGAGUGUAGGGGUGGCAGGUAGCCUAGUGGUUAGAGUGGAGGGGUGGCAGGUAGCCUAGUGGUUAGAGUGGGAGGGGAGGCAGGUAGCCUAGUGGUUAGAGUGGAGGGGAGGCAGGUAGCCUAGUGGUUAGAGUGGAGGGAGGCAGGUAGCCUAGUGGUUAGAGUGUAGGGGAGGCAGGUAGCCUAGUGGUUAGAGUGUAGAGGAGGCAGGUAGCCUAGUGGUUAGAGUGUAGAGGAGGCAGGUAGCCUAGUGGUUAGAGUGUAGGGGCGGCAGGUAGCCUAGUGGUUAGAGUGUAGAGGUGGCAGGUAGCCUAGUGGUUAGAGUGUAGAGGUGGCAGGUAGCCUAGUGGUUAGAGUGUAGAGGAGGCAGGUAGCCUAGUGGUUAGAGUGGAGGGGCGGCAGGUAGCCUAGUGGUUAGAGUGUAGAGGAGGCAGGUAGCCUAGUGGUUAGAGUGUAG